This 446-nucleotide ribosomal RNA is filed under the name uncultured bacterium. RNAcentral's name for it is "bacterial SSU rRNA". It matches the Rfam family "Bacterial small subunit ribosomal RNA", at positions 958 to 1398 of the family's 1533-position model. The record is from RNAcentral.
AACGCGAAGAACCUUACCUGGUCUUGACAUGUAGCGUGACAACCGAUGAAAGUCGGUGACGGUCCGCAAGGACGCUGGGGCUACACAGGUGCUGCAUGGCUGUCGUCAGCUCGUGUCGUGAGAUGUUGGGUUAAGUCCCGCAACGAGCGCAACCCUUGUGAGCUGUUGCUACCCUUUUUGGGAGAACUCUGCUCAGACUGCCCUGUGAAACGGGGAGGAAGGUGGGGAUGACGUCAAGUCAGCAUGGCCCUUACGACCAGGGCUGCACACGUAGUACAAUGCUCACUACAGAAUGAACCGAGACCGAGAGGUGGAGGAAAUCAUUAAAAGUGAGCCCAAUUCGGAUUGUAGGCUGCAACUCGCCUACAUGAAGCCGGAAUCGCUAGUAAUGGCGCAUCAGCACGGUGCCGUGAAUACGUUCCCGGGCCUUGUACACACCGGUACUA